AGUUUGAUCAUGGCUCAGAUUGAACGCUGGCGGCAGGCUUAACACAUGCAAGUCGAGCGGAAACGAGAAUAGCUUGCUAUUCGGCGUCGAGCGGCGGACGGGUGAGUAAUGCUUGGGAAUAUGCCUUAUGGUGGGGGACAACAGUUGGAAACGACUGCUAAUACCGCAUAACGUCUACGGACCAAAGGGGGGGAUCUUCGGACCUCUCGCCAUUUGAUUAGCCCAAGUGAGAUUAGCUAGUUGGUAAGGUAAUGGCUUACCAAGGCGACGAUCUCUAGCUGGUUUGAGAGGAUGAUCAGCCACACUGGGACUGAGACACGGCCCAGACUCCUACGGGAGGCAGCAGUGGGGAAUAUUGCACAAUGGGCGAAAGCCUGAUGCAGCCAUGCCGCGUGUGUGAAGAAGGCCUUCGGGUUGUAAAGCACUUUCAGCGAGGAGGAAAGGUUAGUAGUUAAUAACUGCUAGCUGUGACGUUACUCGCAGAAGAAGCACCGGCUAACUUCGUGCC
RNAcentral lists this ribosomal RNA (508 nucleotides) under Colwellia sp. KAT1. Its description in RNAcentral is "bacterial SSU rRNA". It matches the Rfam family "Bacterial small subunit ribosomal RNA", at positions 10 to 509 of the family's 1533-position model. The record is from RNAcentral. Lineage: Bacteria; Pseudomonadati; Pseudomonadota; Gammaproteobacteria; Alteromonadales; Colwelliaceae.